RNAcentral lists this ribosomal RNA (500 nucleotides) under uncultured bacterium. Its description in RNAcentral is "partial 16S ribosomal RNA". It matches the Rfam family "Bacterial small subunit ribosomal RNA", at positions 30 to 523 of the family's 1533-position model. The record is from RNAcentral.
AUUGAACGCUGGCGGCAUGCUUUACACAUGCAAGUCGAACGGCAGCACGGACUUCGGUCUGGUGGCGAGUGGCGAACGGGUGAGUAAUAUAUCGGAACGUGCCCAGUCGUGGGGGAUAACGUAGCGAAAGUUACGCUAAUACCGCAUACGAUCUAUGGAUGAAAGCGGGGGAUCGCAAGACCUCGCGCGAUUGGAGCGGCCGAUAUCAGAUUAGGUAGUUGGUGGGGUAAAGGCUCACCAAGCCAACGAUCUGUAGCUGGUCUGAGAGGACGACCAGCCACACUGGAACGGUAACACAGUCCAGACUCCGACGGGAGGCAGCAGUGGGGAAUUUUGGACAAUGGACGCAAGUCUGAUCCAGCCAUUCCGCGUGCAGGAUGAAGGCCCUCAGGUUGUAAACUGCUUUUGUACGGAACGAAAAGGUCUCCAUUAAUACUGGGGGCUCAUGACGGUACCGUAAGAAUAAGCACCGGCUAACUACGUGCCAGCAGCCGCCGUAA